GUGGCUGUAGCUCAGCCUGGUUAGAGCUCCAGAUUGUGGAUCUGGCUGUCGCGGGUUCAAAUCCCGUCAGCCACCCCA
This 78-nucleotide transfer RNA is filed under the name Verrucomicrobiota bacterium. RNAcentral's name for it is "tRNA-His". It matches the Rfam family "tRNA". Rfam says of the family: Transfer RNA (tRNA) molecules are approximately 80 nucleotides in length. Their secondary structure includes four short double-helical elements and three loops (D, anti-codon, and T loops). The record is from RNAcentral. Lineage: Bacteria; Pseudomonadati; Verrucomicrobiota. RNAcentral also lists the same sequence under 3 other names.